GUCGCAAACGUCGGCCGGUGCACACCAUGUUGCGUGCUGUUCUGCGAUUUCUGAGAGAGGCAGUGGAUAUGUGCUUCUCAAUCAAGGAGCUUUUGUCAAACCGGAUUUGCUUCAGAUCACGGAAGCUUGGGUUGAUGGA
Molecule: long non-coding RNA, 139 nt
Organism: Triticum dicoccoides
Lineage: Eukaryota; Viridiplantae; Streptophyta; Magnoliopsida; Poales; Poaceae
Exons: 3
Source: RefSeq, a predicted model, not a curated record